Molecule: unclassified non-coding RNA, 331 nt
Filed under: Hevea brasiliensis (rubber tree)
Lineage: Eukaryota; Viridiplantae; Streptophyta; Magnoliopsida; Malpighiales; Euphorbiaceae
Source: RNAcentral
ACAUCUUAAAGAAAAAUAGUGUUGAUUUUAGUUGACAUAACCAUCGAUCAACCAAAAUCAACACUAUUUUUCUUUAAGAUGUGAUAAGAGGAAAAAAAAAAAAAACAAUAUCUCACAACUUAAUAACAGUAUUAUUUAACUCUGGUGAAAAUCUAGGAAAACAGUGAUGUAGAUACCGUAAACAAGAUCCAUAACUUCUCAGCUGCACAGCUUAACUUUAAAAGGUUCGUGUCCCGAUAUUUCCUACUACUAACACAGGCAACUAAAGUCGGCUUUAAAAUGCUCAUGUCCCUGUGUUUCUGCGGCCAACACGAGCAACAAAACCAGCUUU